GGUCGGGCCCCACGUGGCGGGACCUCGUGAACCGGGUCAGGGCCGGAAGGCAGCAGCCCUCAGCAAGGUAUCUCGGGUACCGUGGGUCGCCUGACUUCC
This 99-nucleotide signal recognition particle RNA is filed under the name Ferrimicrobium acidiphilum DSM 19497. RNAcentral's name for it is "Bacterial small signal recognition particle RNA". It matches the Rfam family "Bacterial small signal recognition particle RNA". Rfam says of the family: The signal recognition particle (SRP) is a universally conserved ribonucleoprotein involved in the co-translational targeting of proteins to membranes. Archaeal SRP consists of a 7S RNA and homologues of the eukaryotic SRP19 and SRP54 proteins. The record is from Rfam by way of RNAcentral. Lineage: Bacteria; Bacillati; Actinomycetota; Acidimicrobiia; Acidimicrobiales; Acidimicrobiaceae. RNAcentral also lists the same sequence under 1 other name.